RNAcentral lists this microRNA precursor (68 nucleotides) under Bombyx mori (domestic silkworm). RNAcentral describes it as "mir-2774 microRNA precursor family". It matches the Rfam family "mir-2774 microRNA precursor family". Lineage: Eukaryota; Metazoa; Arthropoda; Insecta; Lepidoptera; Bombycidae. The record is from Rfam by way of RNAcentral.
ACAACAUUCGGACCGUCGGUCUACCGAGCAAACUCACCCGCUCGGUGGAAGAUCUUCCCUUCCGUCAU